GAUGAACGCUGGCGGCGUGCCUAAUACAUGCAAGUCGAGCGAACAGACGAGGAGCUUGCUCCUCUGACGUUAGCGGCGGACGGGUGAGUAACACGUGGAUAACCUACCUAUAAGACUGGUAUAACUUCGGGAAACCGGAGCUAAUACCGGAUAACAUGUUGAACCGCAUGGUUCAACAGUGAAAGACGGUCUUGCUGUCACUUAUAGAUGGAUCCGCGCCGCAUUAGCUAGUUGGUAAGGUAACGGCUUACCAAGGCAACGAUGCGUAGCCGACCUGAGAGGGUGAUCGGCCACACUGGAACUGAGACACGGUCCAGACUCCUACGGGAGGCAGCAGUAGGGAAUCUUCCGCAAUGGGCGAAAUCCUGACGGAGCAACGCCGCGUGAGUGAAGAAGGUCUUCGGAUCGUAAAACUCUGUUAUUAGGGAAGAACAAAUGUGUAAGUAACUAUGCACGUCUUGACGGUACCUAAUCAGAAAGCCACGGCUAACUACGUG
RNAcentral lists this ribosomal RNA (497 nucleotides) under uncultured bacterium. RNAcentral's name for it is "partial 16S ribosomal RNA". It matches the Rfam family "Bacterial small subunit ribosomal RNA", at positions 28 to 507 of the family's 1533-position model. The record is from RNAcentral.